Molecule: ribosomal RNA, 326 nt
Filed under: uncultured bacterium
Lineage: Bacteria
Description: bacterial SSU rRNA
Rfam family: Bacterial small subunit ribosomal RNA
Source: RNAcentral
GAUGAACGCUGGCGGCGUGCUUAACACAUGCAAGUCGAACGAAGCAUGGAAGACGGAAUUUUUCGGAAGGAAGUCUUCUAUGACUGAGUGGCGGACGGGUGAGUAACGCGUGGGUAACCUGCCUCAUACAGGGGGAUAACAGUUAGAAAUGACUGCUAAUACCGCAUAAGACCACAGUGCCGCAUGGCACAGGGGCCAAAGCCUUGACGGUAUGAGAUGGACCCGCGUCUGAUUAGGUAGUUGGUGGGGUAACGGCCUACCAAGCCGACGAUCAGUAGCCGACCUGAGAGGGUGACCGGCCACAUUGGGACUGAGACACGGCCCAA